UACGAAGGUGGCAAGCGUUACUCGGAAUUACUAGGCGUAAAGGGCAGGUAGGUGGUCUGAUAAGUCUGUUGUGAAAGCUCCUGGCUUAACUGGGAGAGGUCAACAGAUACUGUUAGGCUUGAGUAUGGGAGAGGGUACUGGAAUUCCUGGUGUAGCGGUGAAAUGCGCAGAUAUCAGGAGGAACACCGAUGGCGAAAGCAGGUACCUGGACCAUUACUGACACUCAGCUGCGAAAGCUAGGGGAGCAAACAGG
Molecule: ribosomal RNA, 253 nt
Filed under: uncultured bacterium
Lineage: Bacteria
Description: partial 16S ribosomal RNA
Rfam family: Bacterial small subunit ribosomal RNA
Source: RNAcentral